GUGGCGAACGGGUGAGUAGCACGUGAGCAACCUGCCCCGAAGACCGGGACAACACCGGGAAACCGGUGCUAAUACCGGAUAUCCCCACCGAGUCGCAUGGCUUGGUGAGGAAAUGGAUUCCGCUUCGGGAGGGGCUCGCGGCCUAUCAGCUUGUUGGUGAGGUAACGGCUCACCAAGGCUUCGACGGGUAGCUGGUCUGAGAGGACGAUCAGCCACACUGGACUGAGACACGGCCCAGACUCCUACGGGAGGCAGCAGUGGGGGAUCUUGCACAAUGGGCGAAAGCCUGAUGCAGCAACGCCGCGUGAGGGACGAAGGCUUUCUGAGUUGUAAACCUCUUUCAGCAGGGACGAUUGUGACGGUACCUGCAGAAGAAGCCCCGGCCAACUACGUGCCAGCAGCCGCGGUAAUACGUAGGGGGCAAGCGUUGUCCGGAUUUAUUGGGCGUAAAGAGCUCGUAGGCGGCUUGGCAAGUCGGAUGUGAAACCUCCAGGCUCAACCUGGAGUCGCCAUUCGAUACUGCCAUGGCUAGAGUUUGGUAGGGGACCACGGAAUUCCUGGUGUAGCGGUGAAAUGCGCAGAUAUCAGGAGGAACACCAGCGGCGAAGGCGGUGGUUUGGGCCAAUACUGACGCUGAGGAGCGAAAGCGUGGGGAGCGAACAGGAUUAGAUACCCUGGUAGUCCACGCCGUAAACGUUGGGCACUAGGUGUGGGGACCUAUCGACGGUUUCUGUGCCGCA
RNAcentral lists this ribosomal RNA (740 nucleotides) under uncultured bacterium. RNAcentral's name for it is "bacterial SSU rRNA". It matches the Rfam family "Bacterial small subunit ribosomal RNA", at positions 95 to 850 of the family's 1533-position model. The record is from RNAcentral.